RNAcentral lists this ribosomal RNA (234 nucleotides) under uncultured bacterium. RNAcentral describes it as "partial 16S ribosomal RNA". It matches the Rfam family "Bacterial small subunit ribosomal RNA", at positions 524 to 756 of the family's 1533-position model. The record is from RNAcentral.
UACGGAGGGUGCAAGCGUUGUCCGGAAUCACUGGGCGUAAAGAGCGUGUAGGCGGCCACUUAAGUCCUGCGUGAAAUCUUGCGGCUCAACCGCAAGCGGUCGUGGGAAACUGGGUGGCUAGAGUGCGGGAGAGGAGAGUGGAAUUCCUGGUGUAGCGGUGGAAUGCGCAGAUAUCGGGAGGAACACCGGUGGCGAAGGCGGUUCUCUGGGGCCUGUACUGACGCUGAGGAGCGA